CUCCAGACUCCUACGGGAGGCAGCAGUGGGGAAUAUUGCACAAUGGGGGAAACCCUGAUGCAGCAACGCCGCGUGAGUGAUGACGGCCUUCGGGUUGUAAAGCUCUGUCUUCAGGGACGAUAAUGACGGUACCUGACUAAGAAGCACCGGCUAAAUACGUGCCAGCAGCCGCGGUAAUACGUAUGGUGCAAGCGUUAUCCGGAUUUACUGGGCGUAAAGGGAGCGCAGGCGGCGCGCCAAGUCUGAUGUGAAACCCCGGGGCUCAACCCCGGGCAUGCAUUGGAAACUGGCGGGCUGGAGUGCCGGAGAGGUAAGCGGAAUUCCUAGUGUAGCGGUGAAAUGCGUAGAUAUUAGGAGGAACACCAGUGGCGAAGGCGGCUUACUGGACGGCAACUGACGCUGAGGCUCGAAAGCGUGGGUAUCGAACAGGAUUAGAUACCCCAGUA
Molecule: ribosomal RNA, 446 nt
Filed under: uncultured bacterium
Lineage: Bacteria
Description: partial 16S ribosomal RNA
Rfam family: Bacterial small subunit ribosomal RNA
Source: RNAcentral